Molecule: long non-coding RNA, 1681 nt
Organism: Symphalangus syndactylus (siamang)
Lineage: Eukaryota; Metazoa; Chordata; Mammalia; Primates; Hylobatidae
Source: RefSeq, a predicted model, not a curated record
GCCGGCGCUGGUGGGCAGAGUGAGCGGGGGCCGCGGGCUGCGAGGUCUGCAGGUCCCCGAGCCCCAGGAGAGGGGAUCCUGAGGGACCUGCCCGUGUGUCCUGGCAGCGGGCGCUCGGCCCCGCGGUCUCCCGGCAGCGCCCAGGAAAGGCCGUUUCGCCCUGCGAGGGACACAGAGCCGUUGACCGUAGUUGCAACUGGCAGUUGGCGCAGUAAGGACCUGGCCAGCGUUUCAGAUUUGCUGGGCCGUGGCUGUCACCCAGGGAGCUGCUAAGGGCAUGGGGAAGAUGAAGUUUAUAGAGAUUACAUACUUGAAGAUCUGGAAGCUCAUAAGAAAUGGAGCUGGAAUUUGAAUCCACCCUUGUAUACAUUAUACCGUCUAAUGACACAAAAUUUAGCCUGUUUGAUAGCUUUUUUAGGAUUAUGCUAACAUGACAUCAAAUUAAAUUCUGAUCUAGUCUAAUUUAAUUCAAUAUAUACGUAUUGGACACUCUUCAGUCUAACUGAACUAAUAUUUAGUGAGAGGUUAAUAUAAACUAGGCAUUGGUGUAUAGAUUUGACAAGAUGAAAAUUUCACCUUCAAGGAGCACUCACAGUUAUUAGAAGAGAAAAACGCAUAAAUAACUGUAAUAUUGAGUGGUAUAUUCCAACCUAGUUUUAAACAUUGUAUUGGUGCUAAGGAAGUUUGAAAAACAAACCAGACACAAAAUCUGCCCACAAGUGCUUGUAAUUUACUUGAAGAACUCAGUUCUAACACAGUUUCAUCAGGUAAUUCAGGUAAAUAUUCACUCUAGGCCCAGAUUUAUGGCAACUGAUAAUUACUGAUAAUUUCUUUAGAUUUGUUGAUAUUCUACUUGAUGAAACAUUCAAAUUUUACUUUAAGUAAAUGUGGCCAAAAGUGUCAGAAAAUAACCAAUUGUGCUUUUUAUAAAAUAAAAAUUAACAAUGCUUGACUAAAGCCACCACACAGAGUGACUGUCAUUAUGGGUAUGCUGUCUUUGAAUGUUAAGGUAUUAAUCACAGAAGAGGAAACUCAGCCCUGGUAAUUUCCUAUUGGGUAGUUAAUCAUUUCUGUUAGUUACAUUUUGACUAAUCAUCCAUCCAUCCAUCCGUCCAUCCAUUCAUCCAUCCAUUCAUCCAUCCAUCCAUCCAUCCAUCCAGCUAAUAUCCUAUCCCACUCCACAGGAAUAUGGUGGGCAUCUUAAUAUUAGCUGUUAAGCUGAAGCUGGCUCAUAUAGGCUUGUGAGGGACGAUUGUUAAAUUUCUGAAAACUUUACAUGCUUUCCAUACAACCAUUAAAAAACUAAAUUUUAUAAACUUAAAUAAAUUAUAUUACAAAUAAAGUUAAUAGAUACACAAAACUCAUCAUUUCCUAAUAAUUUUACUAUAUUUUGGUAUUAUCUGUGCUCUUAAGGUUAUUCACAUUUACUAUACCUGUAUGAUGAAGUUACUGCAAUAAUGGUGUGUUACUUUGCAUCUCUUCUCAACUCCACAUUCUGUGAUGUCAUGUUAGUAGCUUGAAAUAAACUGUAAAGGGACUAUUUAUACUUUGGGAAUUAGCAAACACACUUCAGUAUAUGUCAUAGAGUAAAAACAGCUGGAGCAAGUGUUCUAAGUAAUGGAGAUCUUUGAAAGUACCACUUAGUUCCUUAUUUAUUUUGUAAUGCAUACCUUUUACUUUA